Molecule: long non-coding RNA, 473 nt
Organism: Temnothorax curvispinosus
Lineage: Eukaryota; Metazoa; Arthropoda; Insecta; Hymenoptera; Formicidae
Exons: 3
Source: RefSeq, a predicted model, not a curated record
UCCUUGUAAUUUGGACUUGGAAAUAACGUUGGUAGUAUAUUAAUUUUCUGUUGUUAGAAUGUUAUUGUUUUAUAUUGUACGCAACGCUCAUCGCGACAGCCAUGAUGCGUACAUUUACGUAUGUACAAUGCGUGAGUGCGUAUACACGCGUGUGGAUCGAGCAGUGCGGAGUGCUCUUUAUUUAGAGUAUAUUUAUAUAUAACUGUUUGAACGCGUCGAGAUCAUGAGCAGACGCACGCUUGUCGCGACAGCCCAUCGGAAGCAGUAAUAGUUCUGGAGACUGUAGUCGCAUUAUCUUACAUACGUAUGAUGCGUGAGUGUGUCAUAUAUACGUACGUUUGUGCUUGUGCUGUCGAGCGCUUUUAAUUGUAUACAACAUUUUUAUAUGAGUAGCUGGUGAUUCAAGAUCUAUUUUUUGACCUAUAUAAGAGAGAGAUUUGCAGAAGAAAAGAAAUAUACCAAAGUAUUAAGGA